Molecule: ribosomal RNA, 584 nt
Filed under: Trametes versicolor
Lineage: Eukaryota; Fungi; Basidiomycota; Agaricomycetes; Polyporales; Polyporaceae
Description: eukaryotic LSU rRNA
Rfam family: 5.8S ribosomal RNA (bases 173-326)
Source: RNAcentral
CGAGUUGUAGCUGGCCUUCCGAGGCAUGUGCACGCUCUGCUCAUCCACUCUACCCCUGUGCACUUACUGUAGGUUGGCGUGGGCUCCUUUGCGGGAGCAUUCUGCCGGCCUAUGUAUACUACAAACACUUUAAAGUAUCAGAAUGUAAACGCGUCUAACGCAUCUAUAAUACAACUUUUAGCAACGGAUCUCUUGGCUCUCGCAUCGAUGAAGAACGCAGCGAAAUGCGAUAAGUAAUGUGAAUUGCAGAAUUCAGUGAAUCAUCGAAUCUUUGAACGCACCUUGCGCUCCUUGGUAUUCCGAGGAGCAUGCCUGUUUGAGUGUCAUGGAAUUCUCAACUUAUAAAUCCUUGUGAUCUAUAAGCUUGGACUUGGAGGCUUGCUGGCCCUUGCGGUCGGCUCCUCUUGAAUGCAUUAGCUUGAUUCCGUACGGAUCGGCUCUCAGUGUGAUAAUUGUCUACGCUGUGACCGUGAAGUGUUUUGGCAAGCUUCUAACCGUCCAUUAGGACAACUUUUUAACAUCUGACCUCAAAUCAGGUAGGACUACCCGCUGAACUUAAGCAUAUCAUAGCCGGGAAGGAAAAA